Small nucleolar RNA from Rana temporaria (common frog), 73 nucleotides. RefSeq annotates it as small nucleolar RNA SNORD59. The transcript has a single exon. NCBI's taxonomy places the organism in Eukaryota, Metazoa, Chordata, Amphibia, Anura, Ranidae. The record is from RefSeq and is a predicted model, not a curated record.
CCUUCGUUGAUGAUUCAAAGUUAUGACUUUCGUUCUUCUGAGCCUCCUGAAGCAACUUACUUAUCUGAGAGGG